This 413-nucleotide ribosomal RNA is filed under the name uncultured bacterium. RNAcentral describes it as "bacterial SSU rRNA". It matches the Rfam family "Bacterial small subunit ribosomal RNA", at positions 505 to 916 of the family's 1533-position model. The record is from RNAcentral.
CUGCCAGCCGCCGCGGUAAUACGGAGGGUGCGAGCGUUAAUCGGAAUUACUGGGCGUAAAGGGCGCGUAGGCGGUCGCGCAAGUCGGGUGUGAAAGCCCCGGGCUCAACCUGGGAAUUGCAUUCGAUACUGCGUAACUAGAGUCUGGUAGAGGGAAGCGGAAUUCCGCAUGUAGCGGUGAAAUGCGUAGAUAUGCGGAGGAACACCAGUGGCGAAGGCGGCUUCCUGGACCAAGACUGACGCUGAGGCGCGAAAGCGUGGGGAGCAAACAGGAUUAGAUACCCUGGUAGUCCACGCCCUAAACGAUGAGGACUAGACGUUGGGGGGAUAAAACCCUUUAGUGUCGCAGCUAACGCGUGAAGUCCUCCGCCUGGGGAGUACGGCCGCAAGGUUGAAACUCAAAUGAAUUGGCGG